Molecule: ribosomal RNA, 480 nt
Filed under: Vibrio alginolyticus
Lineage: Bacteria; Pseudomonadati; Pseudomonadota; Gammaproteobacteria; Vibrionales; Vibrionaceae
Description: bacterial SSU rRNA
Rfam family: Bacterial small subunit ribosomal RNA
Source: RNAcentral
UCUGAGAGGAUGAUCAGCCACACUGGAACUGAGACACGGUCCAGACUCCUACGGGAGGCAGCAGUGGGGAAUAUUGCACAAUGGGCGCAAGCCUGAUGCAGCCAUGCCGCGUGUGUGAAGAAGGCCUUCGGGUUGUAAAGCACUUUCAGUCGUGAGGAAGGUAGUGUAGUUAAUAGCUGCAUUAUUUGACGUUAGCGACAGAAGAAGCACCGGCUAACUCCGUGCCAGCAGCCGCGGUAAUACGGAGGGUGCGAGCGUUAAUCGGAAUUACUGGGCGUAAAGCGCAUGCAGGUGGUUUGUUAAGUCAGAUGUGAAAGCCCGGGGCUCAACCUCGGAAUAGCAUUUGAAACUGGCAGACUAGAGUACUGUAGAGGGGGGUAGAAUUUCAGGUGUAGCGGUGAAAUGCGUAGAGAUCUGAAGGAAUACCGGUGGCGAAGGCGGCCCCCUGGACAGAUACUGACACUCAGAUGCGAAAGCGUG